RNAcentral lists this small RNA (179 nucleotides) under Marmota monax (woodchuck). Lineage: Eukaryota; Metazoa; Chordata; Mammalia; Rodentia; Sciuridae. The record is from RNAcentral.
UGUAACAGCUCCCCAAGAGUGAAUUAAAACAUAUAUAUGUAUAUUUUUAAAUUAAAAAAAAAAUAUAUAUAUAUAUAUAUAUAUGUGUGUGUGUGUGUGUGUGUGUGUGUGUGUGUGUGUGGUGGAUAUAUAUUUGGCACUGGGAAUCAGACAAGCAAUGCUCUACCACUGAGCUACAU